This 306-nucleotide long non-coding RNA is filed under the name Physcomitrium patens. RNAcentral describes it as "long non-coding RNA (PPAT_LNC008291)". Lineage: Eukaryota; Viridiplantae; Streptophyta; Bryopsida; Funariales; Funariaceae. The record is from RNAcentral.
UAUGGUUUUGGUGUAAGUUAUAUAUGAUUUGGAGUUUAAAUGAAGAAGAUAUAGGCGCUCAAAGUAAAGGUGUUGAUUUGAGAGCUACUGUCACUCUUUUUGGCAUAACGCACGCACACAAAUAGAAAUUGAAGAUCGGCGAUUGCGAUUGGAGAGAGCACUUUUGCGGCUACACUUUUUGCAUAUUGCUUGCUUAAUUCCAAGUUAUAAUGAAGGAGUUAUUGGAUUUUGAAGUGAGCACAUGCAAUAUAAGGGUAGUAAGUGACCCGAUUUAUUAGUGGUUGUAUCUUGACCUAUAUCUUGAGC